This is a non-coding RNA of Microcebus murinus (gray mouse lemur), 2676 nucleotides long. The record is from RefSeq and is a predicted model, not a curated record. Lineage: Eukaryota; Metazoa; Chordata; Mammalia; Primates; Cheirogaleidae.
CCACCCAGACAGGUGACAGGUGCCACGCAGGUUGGACAGGGAACAGCUGAUCAGACACAUAGAUGUGCCUCUGGUACCCAUGAGGAACUCAGUAAGAACCAGCAAUAUGGAUGUGUAGGACUUUCUGAAAGACACAUGAGCGAUGAAUCACCCCAAGGGCCUUGAAGAGAUGCUGAAACGUGUGAAGGUUCGUGGUUUACAUUCCACAAAGGUCACCUGGCAGCAGCGCGGAGGAGGGGGAUGGUGCGUUCCAUGUUAGACCUCCCAGGAGCGACGCCAGCCAGACCUCUGGAGCUCAGGGAGACACGCAGAGGUAGGGAAUGUGGGCACGAGGACAGGUGUGGGGCAGGUGGGUGUCACGGGCAUGACUGAGACCAUCCAGGAAGUGCGUAAAGUGAGAUCCGGAAGGGCCAGAGAUAAAACUCCGGUCGUCUGGUGCAGAACGACAAGAAGGAACCGAGAGGUACCCGUGUGUGGGGCUGAGGCCCAAUGAGAGACAACGUCUCCGCACUUUGAAGACUCAUGGCCUUGCACUUGCACGUCUAUUUGUGGAGUUGAUUUCCUUCUUAACUGACAGUGCUUCUGCCUCUAUCUAGUCUUUUGAAAGCAGAGGAAGCUCCGUCGUGGCAAGCAGGGCUCCUUCUCAUCUUCCAGUCCUCCCAAGGUCCUGCACCUAGUAGGUCCCUAAUAACCUCCUUCAUCUGAACCCUUCAAAGAUGGGGGGGUUGAAACUGAUUAGUUUCAAUCCAGACUAACUGCUUUUUUAAAUUCUCAUAUAAAUCUGACUUUUAAUAGGUUCUGAGAAUCGAUGUUUCAUUAUUUUCUGCCACAGUGGAGAUUAUCCCUGUUGAUGGGUCAUUACAAAUCGAGGCUCUCCGAGAGGUCUCCCUUCUGUCUCUCAUUUCCUGAUCUUUCUGCAGGAUUAUCUUUGUUCUUCAGAGCAAAGGGGGGAAGAAGUUAAAUGGGUCUUAGAAAUUAACAACUGGGACCAAGCAGACCAGAGGCAGAAGAGCUGUGGCUCUCUCACGCUCACACCACACAGGCUCCGUAUUGUUCAACAGGAAUAAGGAGGCAGCUUCAUUCGUGGCGGUCUCAAUCGGAUUGAUAAUCUCAGUGUGGAUCUGCCAUUCACUGCAUGCCAACUGUAUACCAGGCACUGGUCCAGCAGGUCACGUUCGGCUUCAUUUAAUCAUUGCAAUAAUGAUUAAAUACGUGUGGACUGUGAUUAGCCCCAUGUUCCCACUGGAACUCAGAGAGGCUUACCCUUGAGGCUACCCAAGUCACAGAGCUGCUGAGUUGUACGGGGCUGCCGGGAAACCCGUAUAUCUUACUCCAAACCAGGCUUCCAUUUGUAUUGGGGGCAUAGCUCCAGUUCUGAGUUCCCUGGAGUCCUGGAAGAGCCAACCCAAAAGUCACAUAGGGUCCAGUGCAUCUCCUGCCCAAAGCCCCAUUCCCUACAAGGCAUCAGAGCUAGAUUUCACUAUAGAGUGGUUACAGCAGCCAGCUUCUCCCUGACUCUGACCUCAGGAAAACAAUCCUUUUUCUUUUCCUUGGCACUGAGAUUGCUCUGUGGAUCCAUUUGCAUAAAUCCAAGCAAAACAGGACACCCUAGAGAACAAAAGAAAGAAAGGGAUGUGCUCAGGCUCUCCAAGCAGCAGCAACUCCUUUUGAUGCCAAAUGGGCCCUCCCCACACACGGCCUUGCUGGUUGUGCUGCGGCAGGGUUCAAACGUGACAGAGCCACCAGAAGGGACCCCCCAAACUGGCUCAGAUUUUCUGGGAUCUGUAUGUGCCAAGGCUGAAGAAAACAACGAGCAAUAAACCUCUGCAGACAAUUGAUCACUCAUCUGUGCAGGACUCAGAGCAUCAAGCUCACCCCUCGUUAUCACUCUGGCAUUUUUUUUAGGGUAGAGAGUGUCAGGAGGGAGACAGCACAGAGGGUGCCAUGCCCCAGGCCAGGAACCCCACAGGACUGGGCUCAAAUCCUGCCCGUAAGACUCUGGGCAUGUCACCUCCGCUGCCCAAGCCUUCCUCAUUGGUACAAUGAGAUCAGUCACAGUUUCCACCUCCUUAGAUCCAAGCAGCCAAUGCAUGCAGGGGACCUGCCCCAGUGCCUUGCAAACAGUGAGAACUCAGUAAGUGUUAGUUGCUGUGAUUAUUCUCUCUACACAGCUAACUGCAUGCAGAGAGCUCUGCAUAGCUUCAGGUAAAUUGGGAGGGGAGAUGCACAAAGCCAGAGAUAGAACAUGUACUUCCAUGUUUUCCAGCUCAAUGUUAUACUGCAGAAACAGCACAGAGCCUGAGAGACUAGGGUUCAAAUACUGUGUCCCUUUAGAUCUUGGGCCAGUUUUUUAACCUUGUAGUGCUUACAGUCUGGAGUGAGAGACAGGCAAUCAAUCAUACAAAUAAAUGCAUAAACAGAAACUGAGACUUGUGCUACCAUGAAGGAAAGCAGUACACAAUUCUGAGAGAGCAACAUAACAAAGCAACCUGAGCUCCACUGUAGGGAUGAGGGGUGGGAGCGGGAGAGACUUCCCUGAGGAAACUGAGAUAAGUAGGAGUCAUUACGGAAAGAGGGACAGGGGUAGCAUUUCCGGUGGGAAAAUGGCAUGUCCAAAGGCCCUGUGGUAGGAAGGAGGAUGGUCCGAUAUGGCAGCCAGCAGGGUCUGCAGUAGAG